AGAAUCAACGCUGGCGGCGUGCCUAACACAUGCAAGUCGAACGAGAAAGUGGAGCAAUCCAUGAGUAAAGUGGCGACCGGGUGAGUAACACGUGACUAACCUACCUUCGAGUGGGGGAUAACCUCGGGAAACCGAGGCUAAUACCGCAUAACAUCGCAAGAUCAAAGCAGCAAUGCGCUGGAAGAGGGGGUCGCGGCUGAUUAGCUAGUUGGCGGGUAACGGCCCACAAGGCGAAGAUCGGUAGCCGGCCUGAGAGGGCGCACGGCCACACUGGAACUGAAACACGGUCCAGACUCCUACGGGAGGCAGCAGUGGGGAAUUUUGCGCAAUGGGGGAAACCCUGACGCAGCAACGCCGCGUGGAGGAUGAAGCCCCUUGGGGCGUAAACUCCUUUCGACCAAGACGAUAAUGACGGUACUGGUGGAAGAAGCACCGGCUAACUCUGCGCCAGCAGCCGC
Molecule: ribosomal RNA, 458 nt
Filed under: uncultured bacterium
Lineage: Bacteria
Description: SSU rRNA
Rfam family: Bacterial small subunit ribosomal RNA
Source: RNAcentral